Molecule: unclassified non-coding RNA, 298 nt
Filed under: Tepidiphilus thermophilus
Lineage: Bacteria; Pseudomonadati; Pseudomonadota; Hydrogenophilia; Hydrogenophilales; Hydrogenophilaceae
Description: Long range pseudoknot
Source: RNAcentral
ACCGACGAGAACGACUACCAGAUCAAGCUGCGCAACCUGCGCCGUUUCCUCGAAGAGGGGGACAAGGCCAAAGUCACGUUGCGCUUCCGCGGGCGGGAGCUGUCACACCAGGAGCUGGGCAUGCGCCAGCUCGAGCGUAUCCGCGAGGAUCUGGCCGACAUCGGCGUGGUCGAGCAGAUGCCCCGGCUCGAAGGGCGGCAGAUGGUGAUGGUGAUCGCGCCCAAGAAAAGCAAAUAGAUGAUGGUCUUGCGCUUCGAUUCGCGGUAAAAUAAAAGCUUUCUCGCCGUCGUGGCGAGAA